CGGGGCUCGGGUCUUUGCUGUAGUUGGCCUUUUGCCUUGCUGCUCCUUUGGCUGCCUGGGGAGCGUGGCCCCCUGUAACGGAGGGCGAGAGCCACCUCUCCGCACCUGAGUGGGAAAUGGAGCUCGCCGGACCCCAAGGCCACCCUGUAAGCAGGGUAGUGCCGUUUCCCUGCCCCUCUUCCUCCCCCGGCCCCUCGGCAUCGUUGCCUGAUGGUGGCUUGUCAACGCGACGGCCCCGUACUCGGGGUGUGCGUCACGGCAUUUGGCCGUUGGCUUUACCUGAGAAGCCCCUUGGCACGUUGAGGUCUGUGGCCUCCGUGCAGCCUAGGGACAGGUCACAGGCUCUUGUCUGUUGCCCGUGGUUGUGGGUUUAUUCCCAGGUGUUGGCUGUGCUGCGUUGUCCUUCCCUUCUGGAAAGUCGUGCCUGUGUGUGCGUGUUCCCCUUCCUUUCCUUGUUGUGUUUGUGGAGUGGUUGAGCGGCUGUGCUUUCCCUUUAGGCCUCCACAAAGAUGGCUGCAGCUUAGCUUUGACUUCCCAGGGGGGAAUGGAGGACUUUGGUGCAUGCCGCAAAAGGGGUGUUCCCUCUUAGUCCUGCGAGCGCAGCGAGUGUCCUGUCUUCCUACUAUUUCCUUAGUGCAGAUCAGAGCCACACGGUAGUUCUGUGGCCAAGGCCUCCCUGUAGCCAGGGCUUGGGCCUGUCCUUGCGUGGCCGCCUGUCCUGCUGGCGGCGGUGACAGCCCCGUACUCGGGGUGUGUGUCCCAAGCUUCGGAGCCCUCUGUCCCUGAGCAGCCCGCCCGCCCUGUAAUCAGGUGUGGGGAGGCUGCAGCGUUGCAGCCGGCUGCUUUAGCCAUCCAGCUGGUGGGAGUGACCCCUCCCUGUCCCGUCAGAGGGUGCAGGUUGAGGUGCUGUUUGUGU
This 916-nucleotide long non-coding RNA is filed under the name Gallus gallus (chicken). The record is from RNAcentral. Lineage: Eukaryota; Metazoa; Chordata; Aves; Galliformes; Phasianidae.